This 400-nucleotide ribosomal RNA is filed under the name uncultured bacterium. RNAcentral's name for it is "bacterial SSU rRNA". It matches the Rfam family "Bacterial small subunit ribosomal RNA", at positions 355 to 772 of the family's 1533-position model. The record is from RNAcentral.
UGGGGAAUAUUGGACAAUGGGCGAAAGCCUGAUCCAGCCAUGCCGCGUGAGUGAUGAAGGCCCUAGGGUUGUAAAGCUCUUUCACCGGUGAAGAUAAUGACGGUAACCGGAGAAGAAGCCCCGGCUAACUUCGUGCCAGCAGCCGCGGUAAUACGAAGGGGGCUAGCGUUGUUCGGAAUUACUGGGCGUAAAGCGCACGUAGGCGGACUAUUAAGUCAGGGGUGAAAUCCCAGGGCUCAACCCUGGAACUGCCUUUGAUACUGGUAGUCUUGAGUCCGGAAGAGGUGAGUGGAAUUCCGAGUGUAGAGGUGAAAUUCGUAGAUAUUCGGAGGAACACCAGUGGCGAAGGCGGCUCACUGGUCCGGUACUGACGCUGAGGUGCGAAAGCGUGGGGAGCAAA